GACGAACGCUGGCGGCGUGCUUAACACAUGCAAGUCGAACGGAAAGGCCCUGCUUUUGUGGGGUGCUCGAGUGGCGAACGGGUGAGUAACACGUGAGUAACCUGUCCUUGACUUUGGGAUAACUUCAGGAAACUGGGGCUAUUAUCGGGUAGGAGCUCCUGCUGCAUGGUGGGGGUUGGAAAGUUUCGGCGGUUGGGGAUGGAAUCGCGGCUUAUCAGCUUGUUGGUUGGGUAGUGGCUUACCAAGGCUUUGACGGGUAGCCGGCCUGGGAGGGUGACCGGCCACAUUAGGACUGAGAUACGGCCCAGACUCCUACGGGAGGCAGCAGUGGGGAAUAUUACACAGUGGGAGGGAGCCUGAUGCAGCAACGCCGCGUGCGGGAUGACGGCCUGCGGGUUGUAAACCGCUUUCGCCUGUGACGAAGCGUGAGUGACGGUAAUGGGUAAAGAAGCACCGGCUAACUACGUG
This 468-nucleotide ribosomal RNA is filed under the name uncultured bacterium. Its description in RNAcentral is "partial 16S ribosomal RNA". It matches the Rfam family "Bacterial small subunit ribosomal RNA", at positions 28 to 507 of the family's 1533-position model. The record is from RNAcentral.